This 773-nucleotide ribosomal RNA is filed under the name uncultured soil bacterium. RNAcentral's name for it is "bacterial SSU rRNA". It matches the Rfam family "Bacterial small subunit ribosomal RNA", at positions 8 to 787 of the family's 1533-position model. The record is from RNAcentral.
AGAGUUUGAUCCUGGCUCAGAGCGAACGCUGGCGGCGUGCUUAACACAUGCAAGUCGAACGAGGUUUGUAGCAAUACAAAUACUCGUGGCGAACGGGUGCGUAACACGUGGAUAACCUUCCUUCAGGUGGGGAAUAACCCAGUGAAAAUUGGGCUAAUACCGCAUAACAUGACGGGGGCACAUGCUCUUGUCUUCAAAGGCGCAAGUCGCCAGAAGAGGGAUCCGCGGCCGAUUAGCUUGUUGGCGAGGUAAUGGCUCACCAAGGCAUUGAUCGGUAGCCGGACUGAGAGGUUGGCCGGCCACACUGGAACUGAGACACGGUCCAGACUCCUACGGGAGGCAGCAGUGGGGAAUCUUGCACAAUGGACGAAAGUCUGAUGCAGCAACGCCGCGUGGGGGAUGAAGCUUCUCGGAGUGUAAACCCCUUUCGACCCGGACGAACGCCCGCAAGGGCUUGACGGUACGGGUAUAAGAAGCCCCGGCUAACUACGUGCCAGCAGCCGCGGUAAAACGUAGGGGGCCAGCGUUGCUCGGAAUUACUGGGCGUAAAGGGUCCGUAGGCGGUGUGGCAAGUCGGUAGUGAAAUCUCUGGGCUUAACCCAGAGGCUGCUGCCGAAACUGCUGUGCUAGAGUGUGAGAGAGGCGAGUGGAAUUACGGGUGUAGCGGUGAAAUGCGUAGAUAUCCGUAGGAACAUCCGAGGCGAAAGCGGCUCGCUGGAUCACAACUGACGCUGAGGGACGAAAGCUAGGGGAGCAAACAGGAUUAGAUACCC